RNAcentral lists this ribosomal RNA (301 nucleotides) under uncultured bacterium. RNAcentral describes it as "partial 16S ribosomal RNA". It matches the Rfam family "Bacterial small subunit ribosomal RNA", at positions 509 to 809 of the family's 1533-position model. The record is from RNAcentral.
CAGCCGCCGCGGGAAUACGUAGGUGGCAAGCGUUGUCCGGAAUUAUUGGGCGUAAAGGGCUCGCAGGCGGUUUCUUAAGUCUGAUGUGAAAGCCCCCGGCUCAACCGGGGAGGGUCAUUGGAAACUGGGAAACUUGAGUGCAGAAGAGGAGAGUGGAAUUCCACGUGUAGCGGUGAAAUGCGUAGAGAUGUGGAGGAACACCAGUGGCGAAGGCGACUCUCUGGUCUGUAACUGACGCUGAGGAGCGAAAGCGUGGGGAGCGAACAGGAUUAGAUACCACAGUAGUCCCUGUCUCUUAUAA